RNAcentral lists this small nucleolar RNA (107 nucleotides) under Theobroma cacao (cacao). RNAcentral's name for it is "Plant small nucleolar RNA R71". It matches the Rfam family "Plant small nucleolar RNA R71". Rfam says of the family: R71 is a member of the C/D box family of snoRNAs containing the C (UGAUGA) and D (CUGA) box motifs. Multiple nearly identical copies of this snoRNA have been identified in Arabidopsis, and it is thought to function as a 2'-O-ribose methylation guide for 18S ribosomal RNA. The record is from Rfam by way of RNAcentral. Lineage: Eukaryota; Viridiplantae; Streptophyta; Magnoliopsida; Malvales; Malvaceae.
AGCCCAUGUUGUAAGCACCUUCUAAGCAAAUCCUUAAAUCACUCCCAAGCUUCAUACAAGGACUCACCAUCAAAUUGUGUAAAAGCAGUUAUAUUAUUCCUCAUCUC